Molecule: ribosomal RNA, 433 nt
Filed under: uncultured bacterium
Lineage: Bacteria
Description: partial 16S ribosomal RNA
Rfam family: Bacterial small subunit ribosomal RNA
Source: RNAcentral
AACGAACGCUGGCGGCAUGCCUAACACAUGCAAGUCGAACGAGACCUUCGGGUCUAGUGGCGUACGGGUGCGUAACGCGUGGGAACCUGCCCUUAGGUUCGGAAUAACUCUCCGAAAGGGGUGCUAAUACCGGAUAAUGUCUUCGGACCAAAGAUUUAUCGCCUUUGGAUGGGCCCGCGUUGGAUUAGCUAGUUGGUAGGGUAAAAGCCUACCAAGGCGACGAUCCAUAGCUGGUCUGAGAGGAUGAUCAGCCACACUGGGACUGAGACACGGCCCAGACUCCUACGGGAGGCAGCAGUGGGGAAUAUUGGACAAUGGGCGAAAGCCUGAUCCAGCAAUGCCGCGUGAGUGAUGAAGGCCUUAGGGUUGUAAAGCUCUUUUACCCGGGAUGAUAAUGACAGUACCGGGAGAAUAAGCUCCGGCUAACUCCGUG